GUACUCACCCUGGCAGCACAUAUACUAAAAUUAAAACAAUAUAGGGAAGAUUAGCAUAGAAUAGCCCCUGAAUAAGGGUGAUAUGGAAUUGGUACAUAAUUUCACAUUUUUU
Nycticebus coucang (slow loris) is the source of this 112-nucleotide small nuclear RNA. The record is from RefSeq and is a predicted model, not a curated record. Lineage: Eukaryota; Metazoa; Chordata; Mammalia; Primates; Lorisidae.